AGCCUGUUAGCUCAAUUGGUAGAGUAUUUUGUGUGCAAAUACACAAAAAUGUGGGUUCGACUCCUGCACAGACUC
Molecule: transfer RNA, 75 nt
Filed under: Beta vulgaris subsp. vulgaris (sugar beet)
Lineage: Eukaryota; Viridiplantae; Streptophyta; Magnoliopsida; Caryophyllales; Amaranthaceae
Rfam family: tRNA
About the family: Transfer RNA (tRNA) molecules are approximately 80 nucleotides in length. Their secondary structure includes four short double-helical elements and three loops (D, anti-codon, and T loops).
Source: Rfam by way of RNAcentral